RNAcentral lists this ribosomal RNA (370 nucleotides) under uncultured organism. RNAcentral describes it as "partial 16S ribosomal RNA". It matches the Rfam family "Bacterial small subunit ribosomal RNA", at positions 527 to 896 of the family's 1533-position model. The record is from RNAcentral.
GGAGGGUGCGAGCGUUAAUCGGAAUUACUGGGCGUAAAGCGCGCGCAGGCGGCUGGGUCAGUCGGAUGUGAAAGCCCCGGGCUUAACCUGGGAAUUGCAUUCGAUACUGCCCGGCUAGAGUAUGGGAGAGGGAAGUGGAAUUUCCGGUGUAGCGGUGAAAUGCGUAGAUAUCGGAAGGAACACCAGUGGCGAAGGCGGCUUCCUGGCCCAAUACUGACGCUCAGGUGCGAAAGCGUGGGGAGCGAACAGGGAUUAGAUACCCUGGUAGUCCACGCUGUAAACGAUGAGAACUAGAUGUUGGGAGGGUUAGCCUCUCAGUGUCGCAGCUAACGCGUUAAGUUCUCCGCCUGGGGAUACGACCGCAAGGUUG